CGAGUGGCGGACGGGUGAGGAAUACAUCGGAAUCUACUCUGUCGUGGGGGAUAACGUAGGGAAACUUACGCUAAUACCGCAUACGACCUACGGGUGAAAGCAGGGGAUCUUCGGACCUUGCGCGAUUGAAUGAGCCGAUGUCGGAUUAGCUAGUUGGCGGGGUAAAGGCCCACCAAGGCGACGAUCCGUAACUGGUCUAGGAGGAUGAUCAGUCACACUGGAACUGAGACACGGUCCAGACUCCUACGGGAGGCAGCAGUC
RNAcentral lists this ribosomal RNA (261 nucleotides) under uncultured Stenotrophomonas sp. RNAcentral describes it as "partial 16S ribosomal RNA". It matches the Rfam family "Bacterial small subunit ribosomal RNA", at positions 92 to 355 of the family's 1533-position model. The record is from RNAcentral. Lineage: Bacteria; Pseudomonadati; Pseudomonadota; Gammaproteobacteria; Lysobacterales; Lysobacteraceae.